UACGUAGGGUGCGAGCGUUGUCCGGAAUUAUUGGGCGUAAAGAGCUUGUAGGCGGUUUGUCGCGUCUGCUGUGAAAAUCCGGGGCUCAACCCCGGACUUGCAGUGGGUACGGGCAGACUAGAGGUAUGCAGGGGAGAACGGAAUUCCUGGUGUAGCGGUGGAAUGCGCAGAUAUCAGGAGGAACACCAAUAGCGAAGGCAGCUCGCUGGGACGUUACUGACACUGAGGCGCGAAAGCGUGGGGAGCGAACAGG
RNAcentral lists this ribosomal RNA (253 nucleotides) under uncultured bacterium. Its description in RNAcentral is "partial 16S ribosomal RNA". It matches the Rfam family "Bacterial small subunit ribosomal RNA", at positions 524 to 776 of the family's 1533-position model. The record is from RNAcentral.